GACGAACGCUGGCGGCGUGCUUAACACAUGCAAGUCGAGCGGAGCGGCGAACGGGUGAGUAACGCGUGAGUAACUGCCCCCCUCUCUGGGAUAACAGUUGGAAACGGCUGCUAAUACCGGAUAGUGGGGGAUGACUCGCGUCCUAUCAGCUUGUUGGUGGGGUAGUGGCCUACCAAGGCGACGACGGGUAGCCGGCCUGAGAGGGCGACCGGCCAAAGGGGGUUGAGAUACGGCCCAACCUCCUACGGGAGGCAGCAGGGGGGAAUAUUGCGCAAGGGGGAAAACCCUGAGGCAGCAACGCCGCGUGGGGGAUGGCGGCCUUCGGGUUGUAAACCGCUUUCAGCCAUGCAGCGGUAGUGGCAGAAGAAGCACCGUCUAACUACGGGCCAGCAGCCGCGGUAAUUC
Molecule: ribosomal RNA, 405 nt
Filed under: uncultured bacterium
Lineage: Bacteria
Description: partial 16S ribosomal RNA
Rfam family: Bacterial small subunit ribosomal RNA
Source: RNAcentral